RNAcentral lists this ribosomal RNA (482 nucleotides) under uncultured bacterium. Its description in RNAcentral is "bacterial SSU rRNA". It matches the Rfam family "Bacterial small subunit ribosomal RNA", at positions 501 to 981 of the family's 1533-position model. The record is from RNAcentral.
CUACGUGCCAGCAGCCGCGGUAAUACGUAGGGCGCGAGCGUUGUCCGGAAUUAUUGGGCGUAAAGGGCUUGUAGGCGGUUGGUCGCGUCUGCCGUGAAAUUCUCUGGCUUAACUGGGGGCGUGCGGUGGGUACGGGCUGACUUGAGUGCGGUAGGGGAGACUGGAACUCCUGGUGUAGCGGUGGAAUGCGCAGAUAUCAGGAAGAACACCGGUGGCGAAGGCGGGUCUCUGGGCCGUUACUGACGCUGAGGAGCGAAAGCGUGGGGAGCGAACAGGAUUAGAUACCCUGGUAGUCCACGCUGUAAACGUUGGGCACUAGGUGUGGGGGCCAUCCGUGGUUUCUGCGCCGUAGCUAACGCUUUAAGUGCCCCGCCUGGGGAGUACGGCCGCAAGGCUAAAACUCAAAGGAAUUGACGGGGGCCCGCACAAGCGGUGGAGUAUGUGGUUUAAUUCGACGCAACGCGAAGAACCUUACCAAGGCU